This is a long non-coding RNA of Oncorhynchus tshawytscha (Chinook salmon), 768 nucleotides long. Lineage: Eukaryota; Metazoa; Chordata; Actinopteri; Salmoniformes; Salmonidae. The record is from Ensembl.
GGCUAGGUCUAGUCAGACUAUGGAUGGUGGUGUAGAUGAGGCUGGGUCUAGUCAGGCUAGAGAUGGUGGGGUAGAUGAGGCUGGGUCUAGUCAGGUUAUAGAUGGUGGUGUAGAUGAGGCUGGGUCUAGUCAGGUUACGGAGGGUGGUGUAGAUGAGGCUGGGUCUAGUCAGGUUAUAGAUGGUGGGGUAGAUGAGGCUGGGUCUAGUCAGGUUAUAGAUGGUGGUGUAGAUGAGGCUGGGUCUAGUCAGGUUAUAGAUGGUGGUGUAGAUGAGGCUGGGUCUAGUCAGGUUAUAGAUGGUGGUGUAGAUGAGGCUGGGUCUAGUCAGGUUAUAGAUGGUGUUGUAGAUGAGGCUGGGUCUAGUCAGGUUAUAGGUGGUGGUGUAGAUGAGGCUGGGUCUAGUCAGGUUAUAGAUGGUGGUGUAGAUGAGGCUGGGUCUAGUCAGGUUAUAGAUGGUGGUGUAGAUGAGGCUGGGUCUAGUCAGGUUAUAGGUGGUGGUGUAGAUGAGGCUGGGUCUAGUCAGGUUAUAGAUGGUGGUGUAGAUGAGGCUGGGUCUAGUCAGGUUAUAGAUGGUGGUGUAGAGGAGGCUGGGUCUAGUCAGGUUAUAGAUGGUGGUGUAGAUGAGACUGGGUCUAGUCAGGUUAUAGAUGGUGGUGUAGAUGAGGCUGGGUCUAGUCAGGUUAUAGAUGGUGGUGUAGAUGAGGCUGGGUCUAGUCAGGUUAUAGAUGGUGGUGUAGAUGAGGCUGUGUCUAGUCAGGUUACGGAGGG